Chrysemys picta bellii (western painted turtle) is the source of this 1807-nucleotide long non-coding RNA. The record is from Ensembl. NCBI's taxonomy places the organism in Eukaryota, Metazoa, Chordata, Testudines, Emydidae.
AAACACACAUUAAGUCAUUGCUCCAUGCUGUAUUACACUGACUCUAUCCGUUUCCAAGCACACACUUUGGCAUGGCUCCAUGCUUCACUACAUUGACUGUAUCCAAUUCCAAGCACAGAUUGUGUCAUUGCUCUGUGCAGUAUUAUGCUGACUGUAUCCAGUGCCAAGCACAUACUAUAGCAUUGCUCCAUGCUAUUCUAUGCUGAUCUUAUCCACAUCCAAGUAUCCAUUACAGCAAUGCUCUGUGCUGUUCUACGCUAACUGUAUCCAGUUCCAAGCACACAUUACAUCAGUGCUCCAUGUCAUUCUAUGCUGACUGUAUCCAAUUCCAAGCACAUAUUACAGAAAUGCUCCAUGCUAUUCUAUGCUGACCGUAUCCAAUUCCAAGUACACAUUACCUCAUUGCUCCAUGCUGUUCCUUGCUGACUAUAUCCAAUUCCCAGCACAUAUUAUGUUAUUGCUCCAUGCUGUUCCACGCUGAUUGUAUUGAAUUCCAUCCACAUAUUUUGUCAUUACUUUGUUCUGUACUACUCUGACUACUCAGUUCCAAGCACACAUUAUGUUAGUGCUCCAUACUGUUCUAUGCUGACUGUAUUCAAAUCCAAAUACGCUUUACAUCAUUGUUCCAUGCUGUUGUGUGCUGACUAUAUAGCCAGUUCUAAGCUAACAUGAUGACGUUGUUCCAUGCUGUGCUACACUGAGUGUAUCCAGUUCCAAGACACAUGACAUCUUUGCUGUGCACUACUAUGAUGACUAUCCUGUUCCAGCACUGCCUCCGGAUCCUGACUGUAAUCUAUAAAACUCUGGGGUAACCUUUUCCUUCUGCAAGCCAAGACAAUUGCUCUCAAUGGGAAUUGUGUGUGAUGGUCUCCAGAGUACCCACCCAUCCUCUGACUUACAGGACAUCCCUUAUAGGGUGCCUACGUUCCACCAACUGUGUCCGAGAGCUGGUGGUCACUUGGUCUCUGGGUGAGAUACUUGGGAGCUGUGCAGGAUGAUCUCAAGGAGCCUCUCAGCUGUGGAAUUCCCUAUCAGCAGAGACAGGGAACCAAGGUGAACACACCAGACGGACCAAGAACCCUGAACUCUCUGACCAGGAACCAUCAACAGGAACCUAGAGCCACUGCUCAGGAACUCGCCAUCAGGAACAGCUCCGCCAAAGACAGGAUCAGGAACGAUGUAGAUUCCUGCAGAAGUGGAGUCCAGUUGAAGAGACACAGAUGGGAUUUGGGGGCAAAGGAGCUGCAGAACUGGCAAGACUGGAGCAGGACAAAAAGUAACAAGUGGCAAGAUUCAGGAGUUGGAUGUACUAUAAAUGCGAUCCACUCAAAUCAUUAGUGUGCGUAUGGCGAUCACAUGGCAAGAUUGUAUAAUCAUCCCUGAGGUUUUAAAAUGGGUCCUUCCAUAUCCUUUUGAAUAAUGCCCAUUUAUCUGUUUGAAAUUACAUCAAUGUUAAUGGACAGGUAUGUAAACAGCUUUUACAAAAUAUUUCCUAAGUUACUGAUACCAGAUUUUAGACCAGAUAUGAUUGUCGUGAUUAAAUACCGUUCUUUUCCUCCUGUGUGUGAAUAAUCAACACAAGACUGGUAUAGCCAGUUGUGCUCUCUAAACCAUUCUGACUUCUUGACUACUGCUUUCAGACCACUUUUAUUUUAAAUCCAGGUCGAACACUAUGGUGGACACUAUCACUUUUCACAGACAAAACUUUAAAGUACAUUGUUGAAUUGCAUUUAUUAUGCAAUAUGUUUUGUACUCAACUUAGUACUAGAGUAUUUUACAAGAAUAAAAUAGUGCCACAAUGGUGUCA